RNAcentral lists this ribosomal RNA (695 nucleotides) under uncultured bacterium. RNAcentral's name for it is "bacterial SSU rRNA". It matches the Rfam family "Bacterial small subunit ribosomal RNA", at positions 111 to 823 of the family's 1533-position model. The record is from RNAcentral.
UAACGCGUGGGUAACCUGCCUCAUACAGGGGGAUAACAGUUAGAAAUGACUGCUAAUACCGCAUAAGACCACGGAGCCGCAUGGCUCAGUGGGAAAAACUCCGGUGGUAUGAGAUGGACCCGCGUCUGAUUAGGUAGUUGGUGGGGUAACGGCCUACCAAGCCAACGAUCAGUAGCCGACCUGAGAGGGUGACCGGCCACAUUGGGACUGAGACACGGCCCAAACUCCUACGGGAGGCAGCAGUGGGGAAUAUUGCACAAUGGGGGAAACCCUGAUGCAGCGACGCCGCGUGAGCGAAGAAGUAUUUCGGUAUGUAAAGCUCUNUCAGCAGGGAAGAAAAUGACGGUACCUGACUAAGAAGCACCGGCUAAAUACGUGCCAGCAGCCGCGGUAAUACGUAUGGUGCAAGCGUUAUCCGGAUUUACUGGGUGUAAAGGGAGCGUAGACGGCUGUGUAAGUCUGAAGUGAAAGCCCGGGGCUCAACCCCGGGACUGCUUUGGAAACUAUGCAGCUAGAGUGUCGGAGAGGUAAGUGGAAUUCCCAGUGUAGCGGUGAAAUGCGUAGAUAUUGGGAGGAACACCAGUGGCGAAGGCGGCUUACUGGACGAUGACUGACGUUGAGGCUCGAAAGCGUGGGGGAGCAAACAGGAUUAGAUACCCUGGUAGUCCACGCCGUAAACGAUGACUACUAGGUGU